RNAcentral lists this ribosomal RNA (253 nucleotides) under uncultured bacterium. RNAcentral describes it as "partial 16S ribosomal RNA". It matches the Rfam family "Bacterial small subunit ribosomal RNA", at positions 524 to 776 of the family's 1533-position model. The record is from RNAcentral.
UACGUAGGGUGCGAGCGUUAAUCGGAAUUACUGGGCGUAAAGUGUGCGCAGGCGGCAGAGCAAGUCGAGUGUGAAAGCCCCGGGCUUAACUUGGGAAUUGCGCUCGAAACUACUUUGCUGGAGUGUGGCAGAGGAAGGUGGAAUUCCACGUGUAGCGGUGAAAUGCGUAGAGAUGUGGAGGAACACCAGUGGCGAAGGCGGCUUUCUGGUCUGUAACUGACGCUGAGGCGCGAAAGCGUGGGGAGCGAACAGG